RNAcentral lists this ribosomal RNA (468 nucleotides) under uncultured bacterium. Its description in RNAcentral is "partial 16S ribosomal RNA". It matches the Rfam family "Bacterial small subunit ribosomal RNA", at positions 28 to 507 of the family's 1533-position model. The record is from RNAcentral.
GACGAACGCUGGCGGCGUGCUUAACACAUGCAAGUCGAACGGAAAGGCCCUGCUUUUGUGGGGUGCUCGAGUGGCGAACGGGUGAGUAACACGUGAGUAACCUGCCCUUGACUUUGGGAUAACUUCGGGAAACUGGGGCUAAUACCGUAUAGGAGCUCCUGCUGCAUGGUGGGGGGUGGAAAGUUUCGGCGGUUGGGGAUGGACUCGCGGCUUAUCAGCUUGUUGGUUGGGUAGUGGCUUACCAAGGCUGUGACGGGUAGCCGGCCUGAGAGGGUGACCGGCCACAUUGGGACUGAGAUACGGCCCAGACUCCUACGGGAGGCAGCGGUGGGGAAUAUUGCACAAUGGGCGGAAGCCUGAUGCAGCAACGCCGGGUGCGGGAUGACGGCCUUCGGGUUGUAAACCGCUUUCGCCUGUGACGAAGCGUGAGUGACGGUAAUGGGUAAAGAAGCACCGGCUAACUACGUG